AAGAGAUUUGUAGAUAGAGGUUGAUAGAUGAGAAGUGCAUGAUAGAGAGUAAGUGAAGUUGAGUCAGGUUAUUAGAAGCGAUAUUUGCGAGUAAGUUAGAACGUUAGUCCUCGACAACGACGCUUUAAGUUAAGCGGGACAAGGUGGGCCCAUAACCCACAGGGUGACGAUUCAGAAAAUCGAAGAUAUGCUACGUGUUUGUGCUAUGGACUUCAAAGGCAGAUGGAAUGAAAUAGAAAAAUGAAGACUACAUGGGCGAGAGUUAUUACGAACGAUAAUGUCGACGAUGAA
Molecule: long non-coding RNA, 291 nt
Filed under: Daucus carota (carrot)
Lineage: Eukaryota; Viridiplantae; Streptophyta; Magnoliopsida; Apiales; Apiaceae
Description: long non-coding RNA (DCAR_LNC005536)
Source: RNAcentral